RNAcentral lists this ribosomal RNA (491 nucleotides) under uncultured bacterium. Its description in RNAcentral is "partial 16S ribosomal RNA". It matches the Rfam family "Bacterial small subunit ribosomal RNA", at positions 28 to 507 of the family's 1533-position model. The record is from RNAcentral.
GAUGAACGCUAGCUACAGGCUUAACACAUGCAAGUCGAGGGGAAACGAUGAGAGAGCUUGCUCUCUUAGUCGUCGACCGGCGCACGGGUGAGUAACGCGUAUCCAACCUGCCUCUGACCAAGGGAUAACCCGUCGAAAGUCGGACUAAUACCUUAUGCAGUCGUCGGAAGUCAUCUGAUGACGACGAAAGAUUUCAUCGGUGAGAGAUGGGGAUGCGUCUGAUUAGCUUGUUGGCGGGGUAACGGCCCACCAAGGCGACGAUCAGUAGGGGUUCUGGGAGGAAGGUCCCCCACAUUGGAACUGAGACACGGUCCAAACUCCUACGGGAGGCAGCAGUGAGGAAUAUUGGUCAAUGGGCGUAAGCCUGAACCAGCCAAGUAGCGUGCAGGAUGACGGCCCUAUGGGUUGUAAACUGCUUUUAUGCGGGGAUAAAGUGAGGGACGUGUCCUUCAUUGCAGGUACCGCAUGAAUAAGGACCGGCUAAUUCCGUG